Molecule: ribosomal RNA, 262 nt
Filed under: uncultured Staphylococcus sp.
Lineage: Bacteria; Bacillati; Bacillota; Bacilli; Caryophanales; Staphylococcaceae
Description: partial 16S ribosomal RNA
Rfam family: Bacterial small subunit ribosomal RNA
Source: RNAcentral
CGGACGGGUGAGUAACACGUGGAUAACCUACCUAUAAGACUGGGAUAACUUCGGGAAACCGGAGCUAAUACCGGAUAAUAUAUUGAACCGCAUGGUUCAAUAGUGAAAGACGGUUUUGCUGUCACUUAUAGAUGGAUCCGCGCCGCAUUAGCUAGUUGGUAAGGUAACGGCUUACCAAGGCAACGAUGCGUAGCCACCUGAGAGGGUGAUCGGCCACACUGGAACUGAGACACGGUCCAGACUCCUACGGGAGGCAGCAGCA